CCUACGGGAGGCAGCAGUGAGGAAUAUUGGUCAAUGGCCGCAGGGCUGAACCAGCCAAGCCGCGUGAGGGAUGACGGCCCUAUGGAUUGUAAACCUCUUUUGUCAGGGAGCAAAGGCCGCCACGUGUGUCGUUUUGCGAGUACCUUACGAAAAAGCAUCGGCUAACUCCGUUCCAGCAGCCCCGGUAAUCCGGGGGAUGCGGUGUUAAUCCGGAUUGAUUGGGUUAAAGGGGUGCGCAGGGGGUAGUUCAAGUCAGUGGUAAAAUUGAGAGGCCCACCUUCUUCGAGCCGUUGAAACUGGUUGACUUGAGUGUGCGAGAGGUAGGCGGAAUGCGUGGUGUAGCGGUGAAAUGCAUAGAUAUCACGCAGAACUCCGAUUGCGAAGGCAGCAUACCGG
This 396-nucleotide ribosomal RNA is filed under the name uncultured bacterium. Its description in RNAcentral is "partial 16S ribosomal RNA". It matches the Rfam family "Bacterial small subunit ribosomal RNA", at positions 338 to 732 of the family's 1533-position model. The record is from RNAcentral.